CCUACGGGAGGCAGCAGUGAGGAAUAUUGGUCAAUGGGCGCGAGCCUGAACCAGCCAAGCAGCGUGAAGGAUGAAUGUACUGCGUGUCGUAAACCUCUUUUGUAAGGGAAUAAAGUGGGGCACGAGUCCCUUGUUGUAUGUACUUUAUGAAUAAGGAUCGGCUAACUCCGUGCCAGCAGCCGCGGUAAUACGGAGGAUCCGAGCGUUAUCCGGAUUUAUUGGGGUUAAAGGGAGCGUAGAUGGGUUGUUAAGUCAGUUGUGAAAGUUUGGGGCUCAACCGUCAGAUUGCAGUUGAUACUGGCAGUCUUGAGUUCAGUUGAGGUAGGCGGAAUUCGCGGUGUAGCGGUGAAAUGCUUAGAUAUCACGAAGAACUCCGAUUGCGAAGGCAGCUUACCAAC
Molecule: ribosomal RNA, 398 nt
Filed under: uncultured bacterium
Lineage: Bacteria
Description: partial 16S ribosomal RNA
Rfam family: Bacterial small subunit ribosomal RNA
Source: RNAcentral